CACCUUCUUUGUAUACAUGAUACGGUGAAAACGGGAGAAAACGCACAGACCAGAAGACACCCAGACAGUGGGCUGUUCUCACUGACGACAUUUGUGCCGCAUUCCUCCUCGCCCCUGGAGUGCAUUGCGACACUCAGACUGGUGGUUCUGGGAGCCAAGCAGCUGAUGGGGGAGCCUCAGGAGGCAGCAGAGACAAAUUAAUCUUCAGAUCCACCAGUUCCCCUGAAACAUACCACUUGCUAAACUGAAUUUCAAGCCAAGAGCGGCAGUUUUCCACAGCCCAAGUCUGGAAAAGUCUGUGAAACCAUGUUGGGUUCGAAACCAAAGUUGGUUUUUUGCUGUUUUUCGUGGAGCACCAGAGGGACAACUCCAGAAUUCCAGAUGUGAGGCCCCUGGAGGGACGUGUGUGUCCAGGCAUCUGCACAGCAGCUUCAGAAAGGCGACCACGGACAGCAGCUAAAAACCACCACUGACGACCUUCUUUCUCUUUUCUUACCUGAACCUCUGGACUUUCUUGUCUGAAAAGAGAGAGGAAAAAAAAAAAGCUGGCACUCAUUGUUUUGUUUUCUCAAUUUUCUUGUCAACUGACUCAUGAUAAAAGAAUGUCCUUUUCAAUCAAUUUCAAUUCCGCAGAACAGAAAAAUAGAGAAUUUAUAGGCAACUAUUGGAAACAAAGGAACCAUCUGUUUUUUUAAGUAUAAUUUUUCUCUGAAAUCGUUCUCUCCAAAUACUUGGAUCAUUUAUUUUCCCUCACCGCACCACUCUGCAGUGACCCAGAGAACCCCAUUGUCCAACCCAGGACACUGGAUCCAAUUAUUUAUUCUCAUCUACCUCCCCACUGGCCAUAAAAAUGAUCGAGAUCCUGGAACAUCUCAUUCCUUUGUGUCCUGGAAAACUCAACCCAAAAUGCCAAGAGAAGACAACACUCAAAUGAAUCCUUGCUGUGGCUGGUGAGGCCCACUCAUCGGAGAAGGUGGUGGGGAGAUCAUAGAUUUUUCACUUCGCACUCUGGUGUUUUCACUGCCAGCAGAGUCUCUGAGCACAGUUCAGCUUUCAAUUUUGCUCCAGAGGGAGUAUCCGACCUGGAAAAUAAGAAGUAAUUGAUGAGAAGCCCACAGAAAUGUCCCAGCUCUAGCAGGCCAUUGACUAUGAGGGAGCUCUGCGUUUUGCAAAGGCGUGAAGAGAAAGCUGCGGCCUUCCUUGGGGGAGGUGUUAGGCAGAAUGUCAGUGGACUUGGCUUUGAAUGAAAGGCCUCGGGGACAAUCAGACAGUGGCCUUAUUCUGUUAUCAGGCUGAAGGGUGAUC
Molecule: long non-coding RNA, 1305 nt
Filed under: Bos mutus (wild yak)
Lineage: Eukaryota; Metazoa; Chordata; Mammalia; Artiodactyla; Bovidae
Description: lncRNA (ENSBMUG00000019140.1)
Source: RNAcentral